RNAcentral lists this ribosomal RNA (429 nucleotides) under Actinomycetes bacterium. RNAcentral's name for it is "Actinobacteria bacterium partial 16S ribosomal RNA". It matches the Rfam family "Bacterial small subunit ribosomal RNA", at positions 355 to 776 of the family's 1533-position model. The record is from RNAcentral. Lineage: Bacteria; Bacillati; Actinomycetota; Actinomycetes.
UAGGGAAUCUUCCGCAAUGCGCGAAAGCUUGACGGAGCAACGCCGCGUGAGUGAUGAAGGUCUUCGGAUCGUAAAACUCUGUUAUUAGGGAAGAACAAAUGUGUAAGUAACUAUGCACGUCUUGACGGUACCUAAUCAGAAAGCCACGGCUAACUACGUGCCAGCAGCCGCGGUAAUACGUAGGUGGCAAGCGUUAUCCGGAAUUAUUGGGCGUAAAGCGCGCGUAGGCGGUUUUUUAAGUCUGAUGUGAAAGCCCACGGCUCAACCGUGGAGGGUCAUUGGAAACUGGAAAACUUGAGUGCAGAAGAGGAAAGUGGAAUUCCAUGUGUAGCGGUGAAAUGCGCAGAGAUAUGGAGGAACACCAGUGGCGAAGGCGACUUUCUGGUCUGUAACUGACGCUGAUGUGCGAAAGCGUGGGGAUCAAACAGG